Molecule: ribosomal RNA, 476 nt
Filed under: uncultured bacterium
Lineage: Bacteria
Description: SSU rRNA
Rfam family: Bacterial small subunit ribosomal RNA
Source: RNAcentral
AGAACGAACGCUGGCGGCAUGCCUAACACAUGCAAGUCGAACGCUCUUGGGGCUUCGGUCUCAGGGGAGUGGCGCACGGGUGAGUAGCGCGUGGGAACCUGCCCUGUUGUGGGGGAUAACCGAGGGAAACUUCGGCUAAUACCGCAUAAGCCGGUUGUCUUGAAGGAGAUGGCCGGGAAAGAUUUAUCGCGACAGGAGGGGCCCGCGUCGGAUUAGCUAGUUGGUGGGUAACGGCCCACCAAGGCGGUGAUCCGUAGCUGGUCUGAGAGGAUGAUCAGCCACACUGGGACUGAGACACGGCCCAGACUCCUACGGGAGGCAGCAGUGGGGAAUAUUGGACAAUGGGCGCAAGCCUGAUCCAGCAAUGCCGCGUGAGUGAUGAAGGCCUUAGGGUUGUAAAGCUCUUUCGCCCGCGACGAUGAUGACGGUAGCGGGAGAAGAAGCCCCGGCUAACUUCGUGCCAGGAGCCGCGGUAA